GGGAGACGGGCCCUGGUCAGCUCACUCCUGCCAGUCUGUACCUGUCUUGCCUGGCUUCGUUUCUUCCGUCCCAGCCUGUGAGGGAGAGGGCCACAGUUCUGUAAAGCUUUCUCUGGGUUGUUCCAAGGGAUCCCCUCCUCUGCCUUCAGUGUGGGAGACUGAAAGCAUGCUACCCAGGAAAACAAAGCUGGAAGAUGGUUUUCUGGAACUGCCUGGAAGCUGUGGUCUUGCUGAAUUUCAGACUUGGCCAAUUCUGGAUCUUGUUAAUGACAUGUGUUGAUAAAGCCAUGCAGAGCUUGGGAGAACGCCCCCUCCACCCUCCCUGGGUCCAGGCCUGCCACGGACCCUGACUCUCCUCGCACUCGCGGACACCUGGGAACUGCCCCCAGCAUCUGGAGGCAAGCCCUGGAGGGUGUGGUGAGGUGACACCCAGAAGUGGGAGUGCAACUUUACAGGCAACGGCCUCAUGGCAAUUGAUUUGGAAGCAACAUCUGAAAGGAAGGAGGGGAAGAGUGUUGCUUAGUGAAGGGUAAUUGACAUUUGUCAUAGAAAAAUACAAUUAAAA
Molecule: long non-coding RNA, 565 nt
Filed under: Macaca mulatta (Rhesus monkey)
Lineage: Eukaryota; Metazoa; Chordata; Mammalia; Primates; Cercopithecidae
Description: lncRNA (ENSMMUG00000057863.1)
Source: RNAcentral